GGUCCCGAGGUGAAUUUCAUAUUGAAUUGCAAAUUCGAAGAAGCAGCUUCAACUCUGCCGGGGCU
RNAcentral lists this transfer RNA (65 nucleotides) under Sicista betulina (Northern birch mouse). Its description in RNAcentral is "tRNA-Cys". The record is from RNAcentral. Lineage: Eukaryota; Metazoa; Chordata; Mammalia; Rodentia; Dipodidae.